GCGUGCGGGGCUGCGAGCGCGUGGGGCCGCUGCGCCGUCGUCGCCAUGUCGCGAUUCUUCACCACCGGAUCCGACAGCGAAUCCGAGUCGUCUGCGUCGGGAGAUGAGCUGAGCUCCAAACCCACGGCGGGGAACUACAGCAAGUGGGGCCAUAUAGGGCCGUAUGGGGCCGUGUGGGGCCAUACAGGGCCUUAUAGGGUCUUAUGGGGUCUUAUAGGGGAGUUAUGGGGUCACAUAGGGGGGGUAUGGGGCGGUUAUGGGGGUGAGCUGAGUUCCAACCCCACAGCAGGGCACUACGGCACGUAUGGGGUCUUAUAGGGUUGUAUGGGGUCUUAUAGGGUCAUGCAGGGCCUUAUAGGGUCUUAUGGGGUCACAUAGGGGGGUUAUGGGGCGGUUAUGGGGGUGAGCUGGGCUCCAACCCCACAGCAGGGCGCUACAGCACGUUUGGGGCCAUAUAGGGCCGUACGGGGCCAUGUGGGGCCCUAUGGGGUCUUAUAGGAUAUCUGUGGGGUGGGUAUGGGGCAGUUCUGGGCUAUCUAUGGGGCAGGUGUAGGGCCGCUGUGGGGUGGCUAUGGGGUAUUUUUGGGGCAGUUGUGGCAGAUGUAAGGGGCGGUUAUGGGGUGGUUUGGGAAUAUUUGUGGGGUGG
RNAcentral lists this long non-coding RNA (646 nucleotides) under Phasianus colchicus (ring-necked pheasant). Its description in RNAcentral is "lncRNA (ENSPCLG00000013889.1)". Lineage: Eukaryota; Metazoa; Chordata; Aves; Galliformes; Phasianidae. The record is from RNAcentral.